Molecule: ribosomal RNA, 623 nt
Filed under: Microkayla ankohuma
Lineage: Eukaryota; Metazoa; Chordata; Amphibia; Anura; Craugastoridae
Description: partial 12S ribosomal RNA
Rfam family: Bacterial small subunit ribosomal RNA
Source: RNAcentral
UGAGAUGAGCCUUAAAAAACUCUUUAAACACAAAGGUUUGGUCCUGACCUUAAAAUCAAUUAUUACUUAAUUUACACAUGCAAGUUUCUGCACCCCCGUGAAAACGCCCUUAAACCCCUUCAGGGAUAAGGAGCUGGUAUCAGGCACAAUAAAUCGCCCAAAACACCUAGCUAUGCCACGCCCACAAGGGUUAACAGCAGUGAUCAAUAUUAAACAUAAACGACAGUUUGAUUUAGUUAAAGUAAAUAGAGCCGGCAAAACUGGUGCCAGCCGCCGCGGUUACACCAUGAGACUCAAAUUGAUUUAAGCCGGCGUAAAGCGUGAUUAAAGCCUCAAAAUUUUUAGGGUUGAAACUGGGCUAAGCCGUGACAUGCUUGCCCAUAAAAAACUCACACAACGAAAGUUGCCCUAAUUUAACCAACUUGAACUCACGAUAGCUGGGGCCCAAACUGGGAUUAGAUACCCCAUUAUGCCUAGCCCUAAACUUUUACUUACACCCCCUCCCACACGCCAGGGAACUACGAGCAGCGCUUAAAACCCAAAGGACUUGACGGUACCCCACAUCCACCUAGAGGAGCCUGUCCUAUAAUUGAUGACCCCCGCUAAACCUUACCACUCUUAGU